RNAcentral lists this small RNA (106 nucleotides) under Marmota monax (woodchuck). Lineage: Eukaryota; Metazoa; Chordata; Mammalia; Rodentia; Sciuridae. The record is from RNAcentral.
GCUGGCAUGGUGGCUCAUGCCUGUAAUCCAAGUGACUCAGGAAGCUGAGGCAGAAGGAUCACAUAUUUGAGGCCAGCCUAGGUAACUUGAUGAGAUCCUGUCUCAA